Molecule: long non-coding RNA, 1053 nt
Organism: Cyprinus carpio carpio
Lineage: Eukaryota; Metazoa; Chordata; Actinopteri; Cypriniformes; Cyprinidae
Source: Ensembl
UUUACAGUAGAUGGCUAAGUAAACAUAUGUGUGAAAGCUUGUUUAGGUGUUUUUGUGUCAUUUUUCAAGUUGCAUGAAUACAGAUUCUUGUUUCCAUAGAAGUGAAAAGUUUGACACCAACUUUCUAGAGUGAAGAAAUAGCUACUCUCUUCUGUUUUAUUCUGCUCUCACUUUUUUCUGUUUCUGUCCCUGUUCCAGAGGCGUUUUCUCUGAGGAGGAAUGGGAGACAGUGCUUUAUCUCAAAAUUUGGAUGGGAAAAUAGUCUACAGGACAAAAAUAAAAAGAAGGGAACAGUGGUGAAAAGUCAGUUGUACCUUCAGUAUUGUGCCACCCUGGAAGAAUACAUGGCUCUUCCGCUUAUGAUGCAAGCCGAGAUCAAGAAAUGUUCUCACAUCCUCCUCUCAAGCUCUCACUCCUCAAGCAAAACUAAUCCCUACUGAACUCCCAGAAUUCCUCAUAUUCCAGGAUCCCCAACCCGGUAAAGCCCACAUGCGCGCACACACAUAGCAUCCCUCAAGUGGCACUAAUCCUCCUCUUCUGGUUUCAUCUCUCUUCUUGCCUCUCCUGUUUUUCUGAUCUGUCAGUACCAGAGCAAAACUAAUCUUGCCCCCAUCCACUUCCUGUGCUGCGCAUCGCUCUCUCUUCACCCUUAUCUCUCAUAUAACAGUAUAAAUGAUAUUCCAGACGCUGUGAUAGUUUCAGAGACACUCACCUUUAUUGAGCCAUACAUUUACAUUUCCAAAAAGCUAUUGAACUAGAUCUUUUUUUAUAUGCUGAAAAGGUGUGGAAGUUCUUAAAAUGAACUGAUGUUAUGUAUUAAAGCAUUAGCUUUCAUACUUAUAGAUGUAUAGUAAUCCUUCCACAUGUAUGACAUCAGUGACCUAAACAGCCUAUGAACCUGUCACACAUUUGUCAUCUUUGGUUAAACAUCAAAGUGAAUUCACCUCCAUAUUAUUGGCUUCUUUUAAGCACCUCUCAUCCCCAGAGCCCGUCGCCAUCCAGCUGCUAAUCAAUUUGUGCCAGUCUAUUGAUGGCCAAACCACCUGAAAAGCC